UACAGAGGUCUCAAGCGUUGUUCGGAUUCCUUGGGCGUAAAGGGUGCGCAGGCGGCGUGGAAAGUUGAGUGUGAAAUCCUGGGGCUCAACCCCAGAACUGCACUCAAUACUCCCAUGCUAGAGGAAUGUAGAGGAGAGUGGAAUUCACGGUGUAGCAGUGAAAUGCGUAGAUAUCGUGAGGAAGACCAGUUGCGGAGGCGACUCUCUGGGCAUUUCCUGACGCUCAUGCACGAAGGCCAGGGGAGCAAACGGG
Molecule: ribosomal RNA, 253 nt
Filed under: uncultured Spartobacteria bacterium
Lineage: Bacteria; Pseudomonadati; Verrucomicrobiota; Spartobacteria
Description: partial 16S ribosomal RNA
Rfam family: Bacterial small subunit ribosomal RNA
Source: RNAcentral